AGCAAAUUCAAUCAACAUGACCAAACAGGACACAUCAUUUUGCUGGAAAAGAUCCAGUCCUAUUUACAAAAACUAAUCCCAAACUCCUUCAAUCACAUUUUUUCGCCGCGUUUUAGCUGGUGUUUCUGUUUGAUUGAGAGUAACCUCUCUUGUAUCACUAUGGUUUUCAUUUUUGCGUUUCUUCGAGCUUUUGCAAUUAUGGAAUGAAGUCAGUUCCUCCACUUUCACCUUAGUAACAUCAGUCCUCACACCAAUGUCAGUUGCAUACCUGGUCAAACAAUACAUUCCAACAGUUGCUACGACUAAGCCAGCUGGACUUGUCAUGAAUAACUUCAGAGGCGACGAGGCAAUAGCUGCCAAAGGAGCACCUAUGACAGAGGCAGCUUGACCGCUCCUUCCAAGAGCUCCUUGGUCAAGAACAAGAAGACCUGUUUUGCAGUACAAGGCAAAAUCUUCACAGUUGUUCUUGAAGACAUCAUAAUUUCCAAAACCAUUUUGAAGCAAGUACAUGGCUCUAUGGAUCACUGCCUCUGGAGGAUCAGAUUGUGCAGUGGUGCAUGUCCCACCUCGAAGUUUAGUAAGAAAAACUGAAGGGCUGGUUCCAUAGUCAAAGCGGUACAAUAGCCCCUCCUCACCCAGGAAACAAUCCAAGCAAGAGAGAACCACACCACUUGCCUUUUGUUGAAAUCCACAGUCAGGAAUAUUCGUACAGGUUGAAGACACGUUUGUACUCGAAGCUGAAGAGCAAUUUAAGGGAGCAGAGAAGAGAAUUUGGUCCCCUGAAACAAUACUUUGGUCACGCGUAAAAUGAACAACUUUGCUUCCACCAACAUAGAUUCCGUGAUGAGAGUAAGCGAAGACAGUUCUCCAAGAGUAGAUAUGGUCACCUGAUGCUAUCUCGCUCCUUUCUAUUUUGUGAGUGAGCAGACCCAUCUCUUUCCCUCUCUGCAAUCGCCAGAGUUUGAUGAAAAUGCCGAUGAUUAUUCGAAUAUUCUACGUGAGGCUCGCUU
This 1010-nucleotide unclassified non-coding RNA is filed under the name Hevea brasiliensis (rubber tree). Lineage: Eukaryota; Viridiplantae; Streptophyta; Magnoliopsida; Malpighiales; Euphorbiaceae. The record is from RNAcentral.